GAUUUCUGGUUCGGCGCACUUGGCCCGUCUCGGUUUACGGGAUUGCGUGCCGGUGUGCGCCAUCCAUCCUUCGGGAAAUACACAGCUACCCUUCACUGGGCCGGCUGUGCUAUCCCGAUCUUUUACUUUGAAAAAAUUAGAGUGUUUAAAGCAGGCUUGCGCUAUGAAUACAUUAGCAUGGAAUAAUAAUUUAGGACUUUGGUCUUAUUUUGUUGGUUUCUAGGACUAAAGUAAUGAUUGAUAGGGACAGUUGGGGGUGCUAGUAUUCAGCGGCCAGAGGUGAAAUUCUUGGAUUCGCUGAAGACUAACUUAUGCGAAAGCAUU
RNAcentral lists this ribosomal RNA (324 nucleotides) under uncultured Cercomonas. RNAcentral describes it as "SSU rRNA". The stretch from base 105 to 324 matches the Rfam family "Eukaryotic small subunit ribosomal RNA", at positions 734 to 955 of the family's 1831-position model. RNAcentral also lists the same sequence under 1 other name. The record is from RNAcentral. Lineage: Eukaryota; Cercozoa; Cercomonadida; Cercomonadidae.